Molecule: small RNA, 171 nt
Filed under: Mycobacterium haemophilum
Lineage: Bacteria; Bacillati; Actinomycetota; Actinomycetes; Mycobacteriales; Mycobacteriaceae
Description: Magnesium sequence
Rfam family: M-box riboswitch aptamer (ykoK leader)
About the family: M-box riboswitch, also know as ykoK leader is described as a metaloregulatory RNA that sense divalent metals and function as a genetic control element of genes related to divalent metal transport in bacteria. It was first reported upstream of the B.subtilis ykoK gene and genes with related functions in other bacteria.
Source: Rfam by way of RNAcentral
UAAGCACCUCGUUAGGUGAGGCUUCCACGCAAAUAUAGGCCACUGACCCCGAACGUCGAAAGACGCCCCGGGUCAGGACAGCUCCUCCCGGCUUAAGGGUUGAGCCCAGGUGGCUUCCGGAUUUACCGGACACGUUGUGUGGUGCCAAAGCUCUGACGAGUGGGGUGCGGA